Molecule: small RNA, 132 nt
Filed under: Kosakonia styphnolobii
Lineage: Bacteria; Pseudomonadati; Pseudomonadota; Gammaproteobacteria; Enterobacterales; Enterobacteriaceae
Description: Kosakonia sp. H02 RtT sRNA
Rfam family: RtT RNA
About the family: This family represents a bacterial cis-regulatory element known as RtT RNA. The exact function of RtT is unknown although it is thought that it may be involved in changing the cellular response in relation to amino acid starvation.
Source: RNAcentral
UAAAUCUUCGUACGGGGAAGGACGAGAACCUUCGACUAAGGUUCGACUCGAGCAUCGCGAGAGAGCGUUGCCGCAGGCAACGACCCGAAGGGCGAGGAGCUUUAGCUCCGAGUAAUCCUUCCCCCACCACCA